RNAcentral lists this ribosomal RNA (507 nucleotides) under uncultured Gram-positive bacterium. Its description in RNAcentral is "bacterial SSU rRNA". It matches the Rfam family "Bacterial small subunit ribosomal RNA", at positions 8 to 521 of the family's 1533-position model. The record is from RNAcentral.
AGAGUUUAUCCUGGCUCAGGAUGAACGCUGGCGGCGUGCUUAACACAUGCAAGUCGAACGAAGCAUUUAAGGACGAUUCUUCGGAUGAGGACUUUUAUGACUGAGUGGCGGACGGGUGAGUAACCGCGUGGGUAACCUGCCCUAUACAGGGGGAUAACAGUUAGAAAUGACUGCUAAUACCGCAUAAGCGCACUAGAACCGCAUGGUUCGGUGUGAAAAACUGAGGUGGUAUAGGAUGGACCCGCGUCUGAUUAGCUUGUUGGUGGGGUAAACGGCUCACCAAGGCGACGAUCAGUAGCCGGCCUGAGAGGGCGACCGGCCACAUUGGGACUGAGACACGGCCCAACUCCUACGGGAGGCAGCAGUGGGAAUAUUGCACAAUGGGGGAAACCCUGAUGCACGACCCCCCGUGAGUGAAAAAUUUCGGUAUGUAAGCUCUAUUCAGCAGGGAAAAAAUGACGGUACCUGACUAAAAAGCCCCGGUUAAUACUUGCCAGCAGCCGCGGU